GGGCGUCUUACACAUGCAAGUCGAACGCGCAGCAGUUUGUAGCAAUACAGAUUGUGGGCGCGUGGCGAACGGGUGCGUAACACGUGGAUACCUUCCUUCAGGUGGGGAAUAACCCAGUGAAAAUUGGGCUAAUACCGCAUAACAUGACGAUGGCUCAUGCUGUUGUCUUCAAAGGCGCAAGUCGCCAGAAGAGGGAUCCGCGGCCGAUUAGCUAGUUGGCGAGGUAAUGGCUCACCAAGGCAAUGAUCGGUAGCCGGACUGAGAGGUUGGCCGGCCACACUGGAACUGAGACACGGUCCAGACUCCUACGGGAGGCAGCAGUGGGGAAUCUUGCACAAUGGACGAAAGUCUGAUGCAGCAACGCCGCGUGGGGGAUGAAGCUUUUCGGAGUGUAAACCCCUUUCGACCCGGAAGAAAGCCCGCAAGGGUUUGACGGUACGGGUAUAAGAAGCCCCGGCUAACUACGUGCCAGCAGCCGCGGUAAAACGUAAGGGGCCAGCGUUGCUCGGAAUUACUGGGCGUAAAGGGUCCGUAAGCGGUGUGGCAAGUCGGUAGUGAAAUCUCUGGGCUUAACCC
Molecule: ribosomal RNA, 576 nt
Filed under: uncultured bacterium
Lineage: Bacteria
Description: bacterial SSU rRNA
Rfam family: Bacterial small subunit ribosomal RNA
Source: RNAcentral